GACAGAGGGGGCAAGCGUUGCUCGGAAUUACUGGGCGUAAAGGGCGCGUAGGCGGGAUGGCAAGUCGGUCGUGAAAUCCCUCGGCUCAACUGAGGAUCGUCGAUCGAUACUGCCGUUCUUGAGGAUUGCAGAGGAGACUGGAAUUCCCGGUGUAGCGGUGAAAUUCGUAGAUAUCGAGAGGAACACCGGUGGCGAAGGCGGCCUUCUGGACAGCAACUGACGCUGAGACGCGAAAGCGUGGGGAGCAAACAGG
RNAcentral lists this ribosomal RNA (253 nucleotides) under uncultured bacterium. RNAcentral describes it as "partial 16S ribosomal RNA". It matches the Rfam family "Bacterial small subunit ribosomal RNA", at positions 524 to 776 of the family's 1533-position model. The record is from RNAcentral.